This 440-nucleotide ribosomal RNA is filed under the name uncultured bacterium. RNAcentral's name for it is "bacterial SSU rRNA". It matches the Rfam family "Bacterial small subunit ribosomal RNA", at positions 338 to 773 of the family's 1533-position model. The record is from RNAcentral.
CCUACGGGAGGCUGCAGUCGAGGAUCUUCGGCAAUGGGCGCAAGCCUGACCGAGCGACGCCGCGUGUGGGAUGAAGGCCUUCGGGUUGUAAACCACUGUCAGAGGGGAGGAAAUCGGCGGGGGUUCUCCCCCGUCGUUGACCUAUCUUCAGAGGAAGUACGGGCUAAGUUCGUGCCAGCAGCCGCGGUAAGACGGACCGUACGAACGUUAUUCGGAAUCACUGGGCUUAAAGGGUGCGUAGGCUGUGCGGAAAGUUGGGUGUGAAAUCCCUCGGCUUAACCGAGGAACUGCGCCCAAAACUACCGUGCUCGAGGGAGACAGAGGUGAGCGGAACUUAGGGUGGAGCGGUGAAAUGCGUUGAUAUCCUAAGGAACACCGGUGGCGAAAGCGGCUCACUGGGUCUCUUCUGACGCUGAGGCACGAAAGCCAGGGGAGCGAAC